Molecule: long non-coding RNA, 444 nt
Organism: Pteropus alecto (black flying fox)
Lineage: Eukaryota; Metazoa; Chordata; Mammalia; Chiroptera; Pteropodidae
Exons: 5
Source: RefSeq, a predicted model, not a curated record
CACGGGAUUUAGGCCCUUUCUUUACAUAAUGGCGGGAUUGCUGGUUCAGCGGGUUUAGCUGCUGCAGGACCUUUGGUUUUCGCAGCAACCUGGCCAGUUUGGAGCGGACCGGAACUAGGGAAGGCCUAGGUCUGUCACUAAGAGGAAGAGGAAAGAAUGGUUAUUGAACAUCCAAAGGUCAUGAUCAAGUCUUAGCCCUAGCCAUGUGAUAAUUGGAAUGUGUCAUUAUAUGAAGAAGGUUGUCUGCAGCGACAGGAAUAUUCAAGAAGAUGGAGUGGUUGCUGACUUUCAGGGAUGUAGCUGUAGACUUCUCUCAGGAGGAGUGGGACUAUCUGAACCCUGCUCAGAGGGAUUUGUACAGAGAUGUGAUGAUGGAAAACUAUAGCAACCUUGUCUUACUAGGACUAUCUAUUUCUAAGCCUGAUGUGAUUUCCUUAGUAGAGC